GACCGUCCUCAUUCCUCGGAUACACUGCAGGCCUGUGGACAGGAGCUUUGUAAAAUGGAGGUGGACGUCAGACGGUGUAAAAGGAUGACUGAAUGUUUUGAACUUCAAGUACUAUGCUGGUUGCAGGAAGAUCGCAACACAUGAUGCAAAUGGAGCUGAAGGAGGCGCACUUGCACGUGUUGAAUUGACCGACGACAUCCAGAGCAGAUAUAGUGCUCACUUUAUUGGAUCCAGUAUUCACAUUCCCAGAUCAGUUACAGAAACAGUAUCUGGUGCUGUGAAAGUUCAAGUGAAGGCAUAUGAACAGCUUGCUGUCAGAAUCUUCACAGCCUUGUUGAAAUGGGAUUGUGACAGACUUGAGCAGAAGAUGUCGUACAAGCAUGGUUAUGCUCAUUCUCUUUGGAGCCUGGUUUGAACAGAAGCGACGAGGGACUGACUGAGGAAUGGGCUGGAUGUGAGACUGACCUUGGUGCUGUGUUUUCUGGAUGAUGACCAAGAGCCCAUGGACAAGAACUUGUCAGAUGUUUCUCAACAUUAUUCCAAUAAAUAUUACAACUGUGUCAAUAUUGUGCCUGAUUGGA
This is a long non-coding RNA of Chelmon rostratus (copperband butterflyfish), 581 nucleotides long. RefSeq lists it as uncharacterized. The record is from RefSeq and is a predicted model, not a curated record. Lineage: Eukaryota; Metazoa; Chordata; Actinopteri; Chaetodontiformes; Chaetodontidae. The transcript has 12 exons.